ACGGAAGGCAGCAGUGGGGGAUAUUGCACAAUGGAGGAAACUCUGAUGCAGCAACGCCGCGUGAGGGAAGAAGGUCUUCGGAUUGUAAACCUCUGUUUUCGGUGAAGAAUUUUGACGGUAGCCGAAGAGGAAGCCACGGCUAACUACGUGCCAGCAGCCGCGGUAAUACGUAGGUGGCAAGCGUUGUCCGGAUUUACUGGGUGUAAAGGGUGCGCAGGCGGGACUGCAAGUUGGAUGUGAAAUACCGAGGCUCAACCUCGGAGCUGCAUCCAAAACUGUAGUUCUUGAGUGGAGUAGAGGUAAGCGGAAUUCCGAGUGUAGCGGUGAAAUGCGUAGAUAUUCGGAGGAACACCAGUGGCGAAGGCGGCUUACUGGGCUCUAACUGACGCUGAGGCACGAAAGUGUGGGUAGCAAACAGGAUUAGAUACCCUGGUA
RNAcentral lists this ribosomal RNA (435 nucleotides) under uncultured Clostridium sp. RNAcentral describes it as "partial 16S ribosomal RNA". It matches the Rfam family "Bacterial small subunit ribosomal RNA", at positions 341 to 792 of the family's 1533-position model. Lineage: Bacteria; Bacillati; Bacillota; Clostridia; Eubacteriales; Clostridiaceae. The record is from RNAcentral.